RNAcentral lists this ribosomal RNA (354 nucleotides) under uncultured bacterium. RNAcentral's name for it is "bacterial SSU rRNA". It matches the Rfam family "Bacterial small subunit ribosomal RNA", at positions 917 to 1271 of the family's 1533-position model. The record is from RNAcentral.
GGCCCCGCACAAGCGGUGGAGCAUGUGGUUUAAUUCGAUGAUACGCGAGGAACCUUACCAGGGCUUAAAUGUUAGGUGACAGAUCUAGAAAUAGAUUUUUCCUUCGGACACUUAACAAGGUGCUGCAUGGUUGUCGUCAGCUCGUGCCGUGAGGUGUCAGGUUAAGUCCUAUAACGAGCGCAACCCCUGUUGUUAGUUGCCAGCGAGUAAUGUCGGGAACUCUAGCAAGACUGCCAGUGCAAACUGUGAGGAAGGUGGGGGAUGACGUCAAAUCAUCACGGCCCUUACGUCCUGGGCUACACACGUGCUACAAUGGCUAGGACAAAGAGAUGCGACCCUGCGAAGGCAAGCUAA